GACGAACGCUGGCGGCGUGCUUAACACAUGCAAGUCGAACGGAAAGGCCCUGCUUUUGUGGGGUGCUCGAGUGGCGAACGGGUGAGUAACACGUGAGUAACCUGCCCUUGACUUUGGGAUAACUUCAGGAAACUGGGGCUAAUACCGGAUAGGAGCUCCUGCUGCAUGGUGGGGGUUGGAAAGUUUCGGCGGUUGGGGAUGGACUCGCGGCUUAUCAGCUUGUUGGUGGGGUAGUGGCUUACCAAGGCUUUGACGGGUAGCCGGCCUGAGAGGGUGACCGGCCACAUUGGGACUGAGAUACGGCCCAGACUCCUACGGGAGGCAGCAGUGGGGAAUAUUGCACAAUGGGCGGAAGCCUGAUGCAGCAACGCCGCGUGCGGGAUGACGGCCUUCGGGUUGUAAACCGCUUUCGCCUGUGGCGAAGCGUGAGUGACGGGAAUGGGUAAAGAAGCACCGGCUAACUACGU
This 467-nucleotide ribosomal RNA is filed under the name uncultured bacterium. RNAcentral's name for it is "partial 16S ribosomal RNA". It matches the Rfam family "Bacterial small subunit ribosomal RNA", at positions 28 to 506 of the family's 1533-position model. The record is from RNAcentral.